This 485-nucleotide ribosomal RNA is filed under the name uncultured bacterium. RNAcentral's name for it is "partial 16S ribosomal RNA". It matches the Rfam family "Bacterial small subunit ribosomal RNA", at positions 28 to 507 of the family's 1533-position model. The record is from RNAcentral.
AUUGGACGCUGGCGGCAUGCCUUACACAUGCAAGUCGAACGGCAGCGGGCCCUUCGGGGUGCCGGCGAGUGGCGAACGGGUGAGUAAUGCAUCGGAACGUACCCGGGAGAGGGGGAUAACCGGCCGAAAGGCUGGCUAAUACCGCAUGAACUCGGAAGAGCAAAGCGGGGGACCUUCGGGCCUCGCGCUCUCGGAGCGGCCGAUGUCCGAUUAGGCUAGUUGGUGGGGUAAAGGCCCACCAAGGCGACGAUCGGUAGCGGGUCUGAGAGGACGAUCCGCCACACUGGGACUGAGACACGGCCCAGACUCCUACGGGAGGCAGCAGUGGGGAAUCUUGGACAAUGGGCGCAAGCCUGAUCCAGCAAUGCCGCGUGGGUGAAGAAGGCCUUCGGGUUGUAAAGCCCUUUCGGCGGGGAAGAAAUCGGUCAGGCGAAUAGUCUGGCCGGAUGACGGUACCCGCAGAAGAAGCACCGGCUAACUACGUG